This 549-nucleotide ribosomal RNA is filed under the name Triticum aestivum (bread wheat). RNAcentral's name for it is "partial small subunit ribosomal RNA". The record is from RNAcentral. Lineage: Eukaryota; Viridiplantae; Streptophyta; Magnoliopsida; Poales; Poaceae.
AUGUCAUCUGGAACCACAAGGUUGCUGGCCUCCUCGCCGAGCCCCCCUUCAUGCAGCAGGUCCUCCCAGAAAUCAUCAUUUAGCUCUCCACUGGGCCUGCCUCUCAGUUGCUCCGAACGGCUGGAAGCAACACUCUGCUGCACCUCAGCUCCCUUUGUAUCGACGGACGAGCUUUCAAGAUCGGAUAUGACACCGUUCACGAAUGAAUCCACUGGCUCCUGCUGCUCAAACAUUACAUGUGACCCUUGCUCCAGGGUAGAGCCAGUGCCCAUGCUAUCGACGGCUUCAGGUCCCUGGUCGAUGCGGCGCCGUCUUUUAUUUGAGAUGGCAUCUUCAAGCUCCUUCCUCAUCUCACUCUGGGAGAUCAGCUGGCGUAUGAAAACGGGAUUCUGCAUGACUCGCGCCAAGAACGACAUCAUCUGCUGUUGCUUCUGCUCGGUUCCUUGCAGCCUCUUUUCCAUGGCUUGCAGACCUGACCUUGUGUUCUGUUGCUCCUGCCUGAGCUUGACCACUUCAGCCAUCAAGAGCUGCUUGUCCCUUUUCAAAUGA